This 253-nucleotide ribosomal RNA is filed under the name uncultured bacterium. RNAcentral describes it as "partial 16S ribosomal RNA". It matches the Rfam family "Bacterial small subunit ribosomal RNA", at positions 524 to 776 of the family's 1533-position model. The record is from RNAcentral.
UACAGAGGGGGCAAGCGUUGUUCGGAAUUACUGGGCGUAAAGGGCGCGUAGGCGGCCUUCUAAGUCGAACGUGAAAUCCCCGGGCUCAACCCGGGAACUGCGUCCGAUACUGGAAGGCUUGAAUCCGGGAGAGGGAUGUGGAAUUCCGAGUGUAGAGGUGAAAUUCGUAGAUAUUCGGAGGAACACCAGUGGCGAAGGCGGCUCACUGGUCCGGUACUGACGCUGAGGUGCGAAAGCGUGGGGAGCAAACAGG